CAACCAAUGAUCUCACGAUGCAGCUCUCCCCGCAAUACUGCGAUUCGCGACAAAGGGUUCUACAUAUAUAUAUGACAUUCGAUGGACAGACUCUCUCCGCAGCACACGAGACCACGACGAACGGCUCUCGCUGUAGUACUUUAGAACCUCCGAUAAGUUUUGCACCGGUAGACUGCAAGAAAUUGUAUUAUCUAGGAUUCGAAUGUUCGACCUGGUAUAGAAGCUUUUAAAUCCUUAACCAAUAUGAGUGGAAGCAUUAUAUUCG
RNAcentral lists this long non-coding RNA (265 nucleotides) under Arabidopsis lyrata. RNAcentral describes it as "long non-coding RNA (ALYR_LNC001371)". Lineage: Eukaryota; Viridiplantae; Streptophyta; Magnoliopsida; Brassicales; Brassicaceae. The record is from RNAcentral.